Molecule: transfer RNA, 75 nt
Filed under: Podarcis lilfordi (Lilford's wall lizard)
Lineage: Eukaryota; Metazoa; Chordata; Lepidosauria; Squamata; Lacertidae
Description: tRNA.Lys
Rfam family: tRNA
About the family: Transfer RNA (tRNA) molecules are approximately 80 nucleotides in length. Their secondary structure includes four short double-helical elements and three loops (D, anti-codon, and T loops). Further hydrogen bonds mediate the characteristic L-shaped molecular structure. tRNAs have two regions of fundamental functional importance: the anti-codon, which is responsible for specific mRNA codon recognition, and the 3' end, to which the tRNAs corresponding amino acid is attached (by aminoacyl-tRNA synthetases). tRNAs cope with the degeneracy of the genetic code in two manners: having more than one tRNA (with a specific anti-codon) for a particular amino acid; and 'wobble' base-pairing, i.e. permitting non-standard base-pairing at the 3rd anti-codon position.
Source: RNAcentral
UUCUCUGUAGCUCAGUUGGUAGAGCAUGAUAUUCUUAAUCUCAGGGUUGUGUGUUCGAGCCCCAUGUUGGGGAAA